Pipistrellus kuhlii (Kuhl's pipistrelle) is the source of this 960-nucleotide long non-coding RNA. RefSeq lists it as uncharacterized. NCBI's taxonomy places the organism in Eukaryota, Metazoa, Chordata, Mammalia, Chiroptera, Vespertilionidae. The transcript has 2 exons. The record is from RefSeq and is a predicted model, not a curated record.
AGACUGGGGGUUGAGCCUACAACCUAGGCAGGUGCCCUGAUUGGAAAUCAAACCGUGACCUGGUUCAUAGGUCAAUGCUCAACCACUGAGCCAUGCCAGCCAGACUGUAAUGGUUUUUAUUGAAGUAGUGUUAAGAAGCACAGCUUUUUAAAAAAACAACUUUUAUUGAAGUAUCAAAUAUACAUAUAGAAAAGUGCAUAUAACCUGAUGGAUUUUCGUUAAACAUACUCUGAUAAACAAACACCAAGAUAUAAAACAAGAACAUUACUAGUAUGACAAAAGACCCCCUCAUGAGAAGUGCUUUUUCUUUUAAUGUAAUAUCAAGGUGAAAUAAGUGUAAAAAUUUUGGAAUGUAGCAGUUCAGUGGUAUAUAUUCACUUUAUUAAGUUGAGGAAAAAUAGGAAAGCACAAAUUAAAAGCUAUUUUAUAUGAUAUUGAAUUAGUUAUAGUUUAGUUUAUAGAAUGACUGAUAACCCAUAAAACAAGUUAUAGUUUUAUAGGGGCUGUACUUGUAGCUAGAGAACCAGGGAUUUGAAAUUAACAUGUAAGUGAUUUGAGUCAGUUUGAGUCACUAGUCAGAAAGGUUCAAAUUAAUAUUUUUCCUUUAAAAGCUACAAUAUUCUUGCAUUUGAAUAGCAUCCAAUUCUAUUAAUCUAACACUGUCACUAAUUUUAUAUGUAUACUUAAUAGCUAAAGUAAACCAUUUCCAGUUUAACAGCUUAAUCAUAGGGAUUUGGGAAACAUUUUUGCUAUGAUAUAUAUGGAGUUUCAAAACUAUUUUGAAAAAUAAAUGCUUAAAAUUCAGAAAAUUGAUAGUACAAGGCUAAUGAGACUAAGAUGCUGACUUUGGUGGCAGGUUUGAUUCCUGAUUAAGGCACAUAACUGGGUUACGGGUUCAAUCCUCAAUUGGGGCUAAUGUGGGAGGCAGCCCAACCAUGUUUCUCUCAUAUCUCUCUCUCU